GCGGGCCCCAGGAGGCCUCCAUCUCAAAACAACGUGUUUUUAGUGUUGACUCACCUGUGGAGUGGUCUGAGCCUGAAUGCCCGGGGCUGUGGCCACCGAGUGAACGGGCUGUGCUAAGGGGAAUUGCCACCUUGGGAAACCUGUGUAGUUGCGGCUUUUCUGAUUAAGUAUCAAUAAAAGUCUGACCUUGUGAAAAAAGCAAACGUGAGUGGCCCUGCUUAUGUUUCACCUUGCGUUGCUCAGUGAUAGUUCUGCAAAGUCGCAGGAAACCUGGAAUCAUCUAAUUAUCGUGAGUGUUGGUGAGUAACACCCAUAGGCACUGGCUCCCGGGGAAAUACAGAGUCAGGUUCCUCCGAGCCGCUGGCCACAGCAUUUUUGUUAAGCAGUUCAUCGUUAACCUUGUUGUACAUGUCUCUCUCUCAAGGUUCCUUAUUUAAUAAUGUCUAGUUGAUUCAUUAACAUGGAAUUCAUGGCCAGUACCUCUGUCACUCAUGCCUGACUGAAGUUGAUCAGCACGUCUUUUUCUCCCUUAGGCACAUGACAGCCUUCUUGCAAUCAAGAAACUACGUGUGGCCAGGAUCUCAUCCACUAUCACAGUUUCAGCUUUCCCCAAACUGGAAUGUGUCUUUGCAGACGCCCAUCCUUAUUAAAGGGCAAAGACUUCUCAUACACCUAGGAUGGAUCUUAUAUUCUUGGCGGGACUGCAGAGAAGGUGCCGUGUCCUGAGUCCUCAUGUCAGGGCACAGGCUUCCAGCCAGUUCUACCUGGGUUAUGUUUAUCUCAAUUCCCUGGUGGUAUUGGUGUCUGCUGGGUUUUGCCAGAAUGAAGACACCGUGUUUUCAUUUGUCAGUUGAUUCGUAUUUUCCAGGAAGACAUUCUGAGAUUACAGCAUUGUCUUAGUCAAGGUGCUGCAGAAGGACAGAACUAAUAGGAUAUAUGUACAUAUGAAAGAAAGUUUAUGAAGAACUGGCUCACACCAUCACAAGGCAAAGUCCCAUGACAGGCCAUCUGCAAGCUGAGGAGCGAGGAAGCCAGCAGUGGCUCAGCCGGAGUCCAACAGCCUCAAACGGAAUCCAACAGUUCAGGCUUCAGUCUGUGGCCAAAUGCCCAGAGACCCCGGAAAGCUACUGGUGUUAGUCCCAGAGCCGGAAGGCCAAAGAACCUGGAGUGUGAUGUCCAAGGGCAGGAGGAAUGGACAGAAGCAUCCAGCAUGGGGUAAAGACGAAAGCCAGAAGACUCAGCAAGCUAGCUUACCUACUUUCUUCUGCCUGCCUUGUUCUAGCCGCGCUGGCAGCCGGUUGGAGGGUGCCCACCCCCACUGAGGGUGGAUCUUCCUCUCCUAGUCCACUGACUCAAAUUUCAGUCUCUCUGGGAGCACCAUCACACCAGAAACAAUACCAGCCAUCUAGCCACCCUUCAGUUCACCAUCACAACCAUUGUCUUAUUCAUGAAACUUCUGCAGACCCACCUUAACCUCCAUCGGUGACUUCUACCUGAAGCCCUCUGAUUGUUGCCCAGUGGUGCUUUUUAAAAUAAUUUCCAUAGUUUCUUCUACACCUUUAGUUGGCAUUCUACUGUAAAGGAGAGAUUUUAUUUUCUUACUCAUUUAUUUGUUAGUUUAUAGUCACC
Homo sapiens (human) is the source of this 1629-nucleotide long non-coding RNA. Ensembl annotates it as ZFAND2A divergent transcript. Its record names the gene ZFAND2A-DT. The record is from Ensembl. Lineage: Eukaryota; Metazoa; Chordata; Mammalia; Primates; Hominidae.